This 497-nucleotide ribosomal RNA is filed under the name uncultured bacterium. RNAcentral describes it as "partial 16S ribosomal RNA". It matches the Rfam family "Bacterial small subunit ribosomal RNA", at positions 28 to 507 of the family's 1533-position model. The record is from RNAcentral.
GACGAACGCUGGCGGCGUGCCUAAUACAUGCAAGUUGAGCGAUGAAGAUUGGUGCUUGCACCAAUUUGAAGAACAGCGAACGGGUGAGUAACGCGUGGGGAAUCUGCCUUUGAGCGGGGGACAACAUUUGGAAACGAAUGCUAAUACCGCAUAACAACUUUAAACAUAAGUUUUAAGUUUGAAAGAUGCAAUUGCAUCACUCAAAGAUGAUCCCGCGUUGUAUUAGCUAGUUGGUGAGGUAAAGGCUCACCAAGGCGAUGAUACAUAGCCGACCUGAGAGGGUGAUCGGCCACAUUGGGACUGAGACACGGCCCAAACUCCUACGGGAGGCAGCAGUAGGGAAUCUUCGGCAAUGGACGAAAGUCUGACCGAGCAGCGCCGCGUGAGUGAAGAAGGUUUUCGGAUCGUAAAACUCUGUUGGUAGAGAAGAACGUUGGUGAGAGUGGAAAGCUCAUCAAGUGACGGUAACUACCCAGAAAGGGACGGCUAACUACGUG